RNAcentral lists this ribosomal RNA (254 nucleotides) under uncultured bacterium. RNAcentral describes it as "partial 16S ribosomal RNA". It matches the Rfam family "Bacterial small subunit ribosomal RNA", at positions 524 to 776 of the family's 1533-position model. The record is from RNAcentral.
UACGGGGGGGGCAAGCGUUGUUCGGAAUUACUGGGCGUAAAGGGCUCGUAGGCGGCCAACUAAGUCAGACGUGAAAUCCCUCGGCUUAACCGGGGAACUGCGUCUGAUACUGGAUGGCUUGAGAUUGGGAGAGGGAUGCGGAAUUCCAGGUGUAGCGGUGAAAUGCGCAGAUAUCAGGAAGAACACCAAUGGCGAAAGCAGCUCUCUGGGACGGUACUGGACGCUGAGACGCGAAAGCGUGGGGAGCGAACAGG